AUGUAUCGGGAAUGGUCGGGAUAGCUCAGCUGGUAGAGCAGAGGACUGAAA
RNAcentral lists this transfer RNA (51 nucleotides) under Davidia involucrata. RNAcentral describes it as "partial tRNA-Phe". Lineage: Eukaryota; Viridiplantae; Streptophyta; Magnoliopsida; Cornales; Nyssaceae. The record is from RNAcentral.